GGUUUCGUGGUGUAGUUGGUUAUAAUCACGUCAGUCUAACACACUGAAGGUCUCCGGUUCGAGUCGGGGCAAAACCA
Molecule: non-coding RNA, 77 nt
Organism: Nicotiana tabacum (common tobacco)
Lineage: Eukaryota; Viridiplantae; Streptophyta; Magnoliopsida; Solanales; Solanaceae
Source: the annotation of a RefSeq genome assembly